This 755-nucleotide ribosomal RNA is filed under the name uncultured archaeon. RNAcentral describes it as "bacterial SSU rRNA". It matches the Rfam family "Archaeal small subunit ribosomal RNA", at positions 102 to 856 of the family's 1478-position model. The record is from RNAcentral.
GGACAACCUACCCUGAGGUCGGGGAUAAACCCGGGAAACUGGGUAUAAUACCCGAUAGAUCUAGAUUGCUGGAAUGCUUUUAGGUCUAAAGCUCCGACGCCUCAGGAUGGGUCUGCGGCCUAUCAGGGUAGUAGUAGGUGUAAAGUACCUACUAGCCUACGACGGGUACGGGUUGUGAGAGCAAGAGCCCGGAGAUGGAUUCUGAGACACGAAUCCAGGCCCUACGGGGUGCAGCAGGCGCGAAACCUUUACAAUGCUGGCAACAGCGAUAAGGGGACCUCGAGUGCCACGAUACAAUCGUGGCUGUCUAGUUGCCUAAAAAGCAAUUGAUAGCAAGGGCCGGGCAAGACCGGUGCCAGCCGCCGCGGUAACACCGGCGGCUCGAGUGGUAACCGCUAUUAUUGGGUCUGAAGGGUCUGUAGCCGGCUUAGUUAGUCUCUUGAGAAAUCUGGCCGCUCAACGGUCAGGCGUUCAGGGGAUACUGCUAAAGCUCGAGACCGGGAGAGGCGAGAGGUACUUCAGGGGUAGGGGUGAAAUCUUGUAAUCCUUGAAGGACCACCAGUGGCGAAGGCGUCUCACCAGAACGGGUCUGACGGCAAGGGACGAAAGCUAGGGGCACGAACCGGAUUAGAUACCCGGGUAGUCCUAGCCGUAAACGAUACUCGCUAGGUGUCGGCCACGGUGCGACCGUGGUCGGUGCCGUAGGGAAGCCGUGAAGCGAGCCACCUGGGAAGUACGGCCGCAAGGCUGAAACU